Physcomitrium patens is the source of this 1107-nucleotide long non-coding RNA. RefSeq lists it as uncharacterized. The record is from RefSeq and is a predicted model, not a curated record. NCBI's taxonomy places the organism in Eukaryota, Viridiplantae, Streptophyta, Bryopsida, Funariales, Funariaceae.
GGAUAUUUGAAUCUCCAGAUGGAUUUCGUCUCGGUUGAUCGAGAGUUGUGUGCGAUCCCGUGCUCUUCAGAAAUCCUGAAUCAAGCAAGUUUGAGAGCCGUGUUCCGCUGCAGCUCGAUAAAAGUUAAUUGCGAGAUUGUAGAUUCAGAUAUUUCUGUUCUAGAUCACUCACGAGGCUCUGAGGUGAGGUGAACUCUUCCUGUUGGCGAUGUGAUUGCGAGCUUUGUAAUGGAGCAGGAUCCCUUCUGAUCUAGCUGAAGGGAUGGAGAUACUUCAAGGUUUAUAGUGAGGGAGGAGUGUACAACGAGUAUCGAAAACCUCAACCAGGUAUUAUGUGGCAGUGAAUGCAUUGUUGUUCAAAAGUCGUCGUCGAAAUUUUCCUGAAGCGUCAGUUUCUGCUUGCAUCUUUUACUACAUGUCUGUGGUUGGUCCUGCAAAUGUAGAGGCCGAAUUGAGUUUGAAACUUUGAAGGAAUGCAAGACACGCUGUCCUUAUGCUUUGACCUGAUUUUUGAUCUCUUUGAAUUUUCGUGGGAGGAUGCAAAAUUGCAUUGGACCUAUUGUAUGAACCAAUGCAACACCAGACUAGUGGAUCCUUGUAUUGACUGAAAUCACAAUGACGUUCAUCCGUUUUAAUCAUGUGUGUGUGUGUGUGUGUAUAUAUAUAUAUAUAUAUAUACAUGUGUGUAUAUUUUUUCAUGAAAAACAUAUUCCAACGUGUUCAAGGACGCUUCUGUCAUGAAAUUUCAUGCUAGCCUUAUCUUCGACCAUAUAGAUUAUGAUUGGCUCAUAUAUGCACAUCUUGUAUUUAAUGCCUGUGCAGUAUUAUCGCUAUGCCUUUUUCUAAUUGAACUUAGCCUAAGGUUCUCUGAUAUGGUUGUAGGACGAGGUUGGCCCUUGUGUGUUAGGUUCUGGUCAAGUUUCUGCUCUAGUCAAUAAUUGGGCUGGUUUUGUCUAGCAGACCAGGUUUAGGGUUUAGGUGUUUAGGGUCUAGAGUUCCUUCAAGAACAUAGGCAUUUUUCGAUUUCAUUCUAGAAUUUUGACAACAGUUGUCACUGGAAAUUAUUAAUGAGAAACGGGGCUAUGCAUUCUAAUGAGUUAUUAUGCA